UACGUAGGGUGCAAGCGUUGUCCGGAUUUAUUGGGUUUAAAGGGUGCGUAGGCGGUCUAUUAAGUCAGUGGUGAAAUCCAACAGCUCAACUGUUGAUGUGCCAAUGAUACUGAUGGACUUGAGUACAGACGAGGUAGGCGGAAUUGACAGUGUAGCGGUGAAAUGCAUAGAUAUUGUCAAGAACACCGAUAGCGAAGGCAGCUUGCUAGCCUGUAACUGACGCUGAGGCACGAAGGUAUGGGGAGCGAAC
Molecule: ribosomal RNA, 250 nt
Filed under: uncultured bacterium
Lineage: Bacteria
Description: partial 16S ribosomal RNA
Rfam family: Bacterial small subunit ribosomal RNA
Source: RNAcentral